UACAGAGGUCCCAAGCGUUGUUCGGAUUUAUUGGGCGUAAAGGGCGCGUAGGCGGCGGGGUAAGUCGGGUGUGAAAUCUCGGAGCUUAACUCCGAAACUGCAUUCGAUACUGCCGUGCUUGAGGACUGGAGAGGAGACUGGAAUUUACGGUGUAGCGGUGAAAUGCGUAGAUAUCGUAAGGAAGACCAGUGGCGAAGGCGGGUCUCUGGACAGUUCCUGACGCUGAGGCACGAAGGCCAGGGGAGCAAACGGG
Molecule: ribosomal RNA, 253 nt
Filed under: uncultured bacterium
Lineage: Bacteria
Description: partial 16S ribosomal RNA
Rfam family: Bacterial small subunit ribosomal RNA
Source: RNAcentral